Molecule: ribosomal RNA, 170 nt
Filed under: uncultured bacterium
Lineage: Bacteria
Description: partial 16S ribosomal RNA
Rfam family: Bacterial small subunit ribosomal RNA
Source: RNAcentral
CCUACGGGAGGCAGCAGUGAGGAAUUUUCCGCAAUGGACGUAAGUCUGACGGAGCAACGCCGCGUGCAGGAAGGCGGCCCUCGGGUUGUAAACUGCUUUUAUCAGGGAAGAGAACGGACGGUACCUGGUGAAUAAGCCCCGGCUAACUACGUGCCAGCAGCCGCGGUAAU